RNAcentral lists this unclassified non-coding RNA (2269 nucleotides) under Hevea brasiliensis (rubber tree). Lineage: Eukaryota; Viridiplantae; Streptophyta; Magnoliopsida; Malpighiales; Euphorbiaceae. The record is from RNAcentral.
UUUAACAUCCAAAAAAAUUAAAUUUCACAUUUUUCAAAGCCAAAGAAUACAUUUUCUUAGGUUUUUCUCACCGAUUCCUAUCGGAUGCAGUAGUCUAAUAUCAAGACACAGUUUUGUAAAAUAAAUCGAAUAACAAUGCAUGAGAGAGGCUACAGAAACAAAAAUUAACACAAACACUGGAUUACAAUCAAUCAAAUCACUGCUGAAAUACAAACAGAGCAACAGGUUAAUGAAUUAAUGGAAGAAAAUCAACCAGCACAGCAGGUGUCUUCUUUUCAACAUUGGUCAUAUAUAUUAUAUACCUACUUAUGCUGAUCCGAAUUCUGAAAACCACUUCUCAUGCUUCUCAAUGUCAGCUUGAGAAACACUUCGCUGGACCUUCUGCAAGGCCUCUUCAAAAUCACACAUUGCAACAGGAUCCUUUGAAAUCUCAUCUUUAGGCAUGUUUUUUAUCUCAUCACGGGUCUUUCCAGCUAUCUUGCGCCUCAUGCCAUUUAAGGAAGCAUCCCGGCAAACAUUUGUAAGAUCAUCUCCACUGUACCCUUCUGUCCGACGAGCCACUUCAUCAAUAUUUACAUCAGGAGCCACCUCAACAGUUUUCAAAUUGAUCCUAAUAAGCUCCUUACGACUCUCAAAAUUUGGAAGCGGAAUAUAAAUACGCUUUUCCAACCUCCUCCUCAAUGCUUCAUCUAUGUCCCAAGGAAAGUUAGUAGCCGCCAAAACCAUCACUAUUUUUCGGCUGCCAUCUUCAUUUGUGGAAGUAUUGUUUACACCAUCUACCUGAACCAGAAGUUCAGACUUGACCCUUCUUGAUGAUUCGUGUUCCCCUGAGGCCCCUCUGGCAUUGCACAGAGAAUCAAUUUCAUCAAUGAAAAUUGUACUUGGUGCAUAAGCUCGUGCCAGAUCAAACAAGCACCGCACCAUGCGCUCACUCUCCCCACGCCAUUUUGAAGCCAACGUAGCUGAUGAAACAUUGAAAAAUGUUGUACCACAUUCAGUAGCAACAGCCUUGGCAAGCAGUGUCUUACCAGUUCCCGGGGGGCCAAACAUGAGAACACCUUUCCAAGGUCUCCUAAUUCCCUGGAAAUAUUCAGGCAUCCAUAAUGGAAGGACAACAGCUUCUUCUAGAAGUCGUUUUGCUUCACUAAGACCUGCAACGUCAUCCCAUCUAACUCCAGGAGUAGUUUCCAAGACAUCCCUUUCAAGCAUAGCAGCCAAGUCAGGAUCAGGCCCUUCGUAUUGUCCCUUCUUGGACUUUCCAUCUUCAGAAUCACCAUUAGCUGAAUCUCCCUUGCCAGAUUUUCCAGCACCAGUGCCUUUCUUUCCAGUAGUUGAUGCUCGGACACCCGAGUUCACCCUGCUUGAACCACCAGACUUUUGAGCACGACCAGUUGUAGCUGUUCUUGUUGCACCACCGCGAGACCAAUUCCCAUCCUGAGGUGAUUUCCUCAUACCCACUUGACCAGCCCUAGCAGAUCUCCUACCCGUAGCGUCCCGACUUGGAGGCCUCCACACAUCAGGGUCAUCCAUGGGAGCACCAGAGGAAGUAGGGUACUCAUCUAAUGGUUGAAAAACAAAGGAUGAUUUAGCAUUAAUCGGUGGUGAUGCGGCUCGUCGCCCUGUGGGAGUUUCCUUAAAUGCCCUUCUCUCAGCAUCUAAUUGCUUUACAACUUCCGCCUCCUCUGAAAUGGCUUUCUUGGCAUUCAUCCAUUUUGUGCGAAUUAAAGGGUCAUCAAGAGUGUUUAGGUGCUUGUUGAUCUGAGCAAUGGCGCCAUCGAAGAAGAUAAUAGAAGUGUCGUAGAGUCCUUCAAGAGCAUAUUCUCGAGCCAAUUUCAAGUGAUCUUGCAAUCCAGACAGUGAACUCCCCACCAUAUUUAUUCCUUUUACCCAAAAUUUCACUUCUCAAACUCAAAAAUCUAGGGUCUCUCUCUCUCUCUGUGCAGUAGCUUCCCUCUCCUGUUAGCUAGCUUUGGCUUGGCCAGGCAGUGAACUUUGACGGCGACGUUUAAACGAUCGAGGAACGGUAGAGGGAAGCAGUGAAAUGACAGAAUUAUCCUUUCGCACCUGCGCUUGGUGCUGAGCCAAAUUACAGUCGUGUCUGAUCUGCUAGUUAGUUGCAGCCGUAAAUAGAAGGCAGAGAAGAGCGAGGAAAACGACGACGUUUGCUGGAGAUGCAAAGGAAGCAAAAUAGGACAUAUGUGAAAAUGUCAGAAUUCUCAUUGAGAUUUGUGGGAAUUUACAAUGUGAUCUGCUGUUGGUUAGUGUUGUG